RNAcentral lists this ribosomal RNA (433 nucleotides) under uncultured bacterium. RNAcentral's name for it is "partial 16S ribosomal RNA". It matches the Rfam family "Bacterial small subunit ribosomal RNA", at positions 28 to 507 of the family's 1533-position model. The record is from RNAcentral.
AACGAACGCUGGCGGCAUGCCUAACACAUGCAAGUCGAACGAGAGCUCCGGGAGUAGUGGCGCAUGGGGGCGGAGCGCGGGGGAACGGGCCCGUAGGCUCGGGAUAACUCUCUGUAAGGGGGGCUAAUAUCGGGAAAUGUCCUCGGACAAAAGAUUUAUCUUCUGGGGAGGGGCGGGCGUUGGUCUACCUGGUUGGGAGGGGAAAAGCCGAUCAAGGCGACGAUCGAUAGCGGGUCUGAGAGGCUGGUCAGCCACACUUGGGCUGAGACACGGCCCGGACUCCUGCGGGAGGCGGCAGUGCGGGAUAUUGGACAACCGGCGGAAGCCUGAUCCCGCACUGCCGCGUGAGUGAUGAUGGCGUUAGAGUUGUAAAGCUCUUUUACCCGGGAUGGUAAUGACGGUACCGGGAGAAUAAGCUCCGGCUAACUCCGUG